RNAcentral lists this ribosomal RNA (469 nucleotides) under uncultured bacterium. RNAcentral describes it as "bacterial SSU rRNA". It matches the Rfam family "Bacterial small subunit ribosomal RNA", at positions 15 to 507 of the family's 1533-position model. The record is from RNAcentral.
GAUCAUGGCUCAGAUUGAACGCUGGCGGCAUGCCUUACACAUGCAAGUCGAACGGCAGCGGACCUUCGGGUGCCGGCGAGUGGCGAACGGGUGAGUAAUAUAUCGGAACGUACCUUUCAGUGGGGAUAACGUAGCGAAAGUUACGCUAAUACCGCAUAUUCUGUGAGCAGGAAAGCAGGGGAUCGCAAGACCUUGCGCUGAUUGAGCGGCCGAUAUCAGAUUAGCUAGUUGGUGAGGUAAAGGCUCACCAAGGCGACGAUCUGUAGCGGGUCUGAGAGGAUGAUCCGCCACACUGGAACUGAGACACGGUCCAGACUCCUACGGGAGGCAGCAGUGGGGAAUUUUGGACAAUGGGCGCAAGCCUGAUCCAGCCAUGCCGCGUGAGUGAAGAAGUAUUUCGGUAUGUAAAGCUCUAUCAGCAGGGAAGAUAAUGACGGUACCUGACUAAGAAGCCCCGGCUAACUACGUG